UGGGGAAUUUUGGACAAUGGGCGCAAGCCUGAUCCAGCCAUGCCGCGUGCGGGAAGAAGGCCUUCGGGUUGUAAACCGCUUUUGUCAGGGAAGAAAUCUUCUGAGUUAAUACCUCGGGAGGAUGACGGUACCUGAAGAAUAAGCACCGGCUAACUACGUGCCAGCAGCCGCGGUAAUACGUAGGGUGCAAGCGUUAAUCGGAAUUACUGGGCGUAAAGCGUGCGCAGGCGGUUUUGUAAGACAGAGGUGAAAUCCCCGGGCUCAACCUGGGAACUGCCUUUGUGACUGCAAGGCUUGAGUGCGGCAGAGGGGGGAUGGAAUUCCGCGUGUAGCAGUGAAAUGCGUAGAUAUGCGGAGGAACACCGAUGGCGAAGGCAAUCCCCUGGGCCUGCACUGACGCUCAUGCACGAAAGCGUGGGGAGCAAACAGGAUUAGAUAGCCCUGGUAGUCCACGCCCUAAAACGAUGUCAACUGGUUGUUGGGAAGGUUCCUUCUCAGUAACGUAGCUAACGCGUGAAGUUGACCGCCUGGGGAGUACGGCCGCAAGGUUGAAAC
This 555-nucleotide ribosomal RNA is filed under the name uncultured bacterium. Its description in RNAcentral is "partial 16S ribosomal RNA". It matches the Rfam family "Bacterial small subunit ribosomal RNA", at positions 355 to 900 of the family's 1533-position model. The record is from RNAcentral.